GCGCUCGGCAGCGCGUUUCUCACUGUAGUGACUGUGUCUAUACUCUACAGCGGAGAGAUCAAUGGCACAUCAGGUAAAUCUCCUUCUCUUCAUCACGAAGAAGAAGAAAGAAGAAGAAGGCGUAGUUCUCCUAGAAUCCAGGAGUGAGACUGGUUUCCCCAUAACGCUAUGAAAAGAGUAACCUACCUAUUCCAGUUGGGGUCAUGGAUGUUGCACUAAUUUAUUUUUGAAAAAUUGAGUGCGUUUUACUCCAAUCUGUAUCACGAUAAACAAGAUAAGAUCUAAAACCAAAAAAUGACCAUUCACUCUUGCCUCUAACGACAUCCACGGAAAUAUCGUUUAGUUACGACAUUAAACUGUAGCCUCGUGGUGAAAUUACUGGGAAGAUAAUAUUAAAGUUAAUUCAAGUUUCGAUUAUGAAAAAUCUAUUCCAGAAACUCGAUUUCAGGUUUGACUGGAAUCGUGAAUAGAAGACUCCUAAAGGAUACAAGCGACAAGAGCCCAAAAUAGAGCUAGAUUAUAUUUAUUAACGGGGCAACUUACAGCAGCUGCAACAUUACUUCCAUAAGAUGGACCAAUGUAGUGGCCCGUCGCUGCAAAUAGCACUAUGAAGGCGAUGAAGUACAUCACUGUUUGGAUGCCGACGCUAAUUAA
Amyelois transitella is the source of this 654-nucleotide long non-coding RNA. RefSeq lists it as uncharacterized. Lineage: Eukaryota; Metazoa; Arthropoda; Insecta; Lepidoptera; Pyralidae. The transcript is spliced from 3 exons. The record is from RefSeq and is a predicted model, not a curated record.